GGAUGCUAUCAUACCAGCACUAAAGCACCGGAUCCCAUCAGAACUCCGAAGUUAAGCGUGCUUAGGCGAGAGUAGUACUAGGAUGGGUGACCUCCUGGGAAGUCCUCGUGUUGCAUUCC
RNAcentral lists this ribosomal RNA (119 nucleotides) under Triticum aestivum (bread wheat). The record is from RNAcentral. Lineage: Eukaryota; Viridiplantae; Streptophyta; Magnoliopsida; Poales; Poaceae.